Neofelis nebulosa (Clouded leopard) is the source of this 4473-nucleotide long non-coding RNA. RefSeq lists it as uncharacterized. Lineage: Eukaryota; Metazoa; Chordata; Mammalia; Carnivora; Felidae. The record is from RefSeq and is a predicted model, not a curated record. The transcript has 2 exons.
GAGAGAGACAAAGCAUGAAUGGGGGAGGGGCAGAGAGAGAGGGAGACACAGAAUCGGAAACAGGCUCCAGGCUCCGAGCCAUCAGCCCAGAGCCCGACGCGGGGCUCGAACUCACGGACCGCGAGAUCGUGACCUGGCUGAAGUCGGACGCUUAACCGACUGCGCCACCCAGGCGCCCCCCUAUUUUUAUUUUCUUAAAAUUUAUUUAUUUUGAGAGAGCACGGAUGCAGAGAAAGGGAGAGACAGAUUCCUAAGCAGGCUUAGCACAGAGCCUGACAUGGAGCUUGAGCUCAGGAAACCGUGAGAUCGUGACCUGAGCUGUUAUCAAGAGUUGGACACUUAACCCAACUGAGCCACCCAGGUACCCCUGAAAGCAUAAUUAAAAAAACUUUUUUUUUUUCAUUUUUUAAAGUUUAUUUAUUUUGAUAGAGAACGAGUGGGCGACGGGUGGGGGGGAACAGAGGAUCUGAAGCAGGCUCUGUGGUGACAGCCCAGUGUGGGGCUCGAAUUCACAAACUGCGAGAUCAUGACCUGAACUGAAGUCAGACGCUUAACACAUUGAGCCACCCAGAUGCCCCAAAAGCAUAAUUUUUUUGAAAGUUUUGAUGAUUUAUUUAUUUAUUUUAAUUUUUUAAAUGUUUAUUUACUUUUGGGAGAGAGAGUGUGACCGGGGGAGGGGCAGAGACAGAGAGGGAGACGCGGUCUCCAAGCUGUCAGCUUAGAGCCUGAUGGGGCACUGGAACUCAUGAGAAGCCACAUCAUGACCUCAGCCGAAGAGGGAUGCUUAACUGACUGAGCCACUGAGGUGCCCCCAAAAGCAUAAUUCAAAAAAAAAUAAAAAAAUAAAUUUUAUUUUAUUUUAUUUUUUUUGAGAGAGCACGAGCAUGAGCAGUGAUGGGGCAGACACAGAAUAGGAAGCAAGCUCCAGACUCUAUGGGGGGCCAAACUCACGAACUCCGAGAUCAUGACCUGAGCUGAAGUCAGAUGCUUAGCCGACUGAGCCACCCAAAGCAUUUUUAAAAAAAAAAUUUUUUUUAACGUUUAUUUAUUAUUGAGAGACAGAGAGAGACAGAGCGUGAACAGGGGAGGGGCAGAGAGAGGGGGAGGCACAAUGUGAAGCAGGCUCCGGUCUCCGAGCUGUCAGCACAGAGCCCGACUCUGGGCUCAAACCCAUGAAACGUGAGAUCAUGACCUGCGCCGAAGUCAGACGCUCAUCUGAGCCACCCGGGCGCCCCUAACCCAAAGCAUAAUUUUUAAAAAAGAAGGCUGUAAGGCUGAUUUUGCAGCAAUUUUUUUUUUUUUUUACUUUAUAUUUAAGACGAGUGUGUAUUUAAACAGCAAUGACAGGAGUAGGGUAAAGGUUAAACUUUUAGACUUUAUAGAACACAUUUAUCUAGAAUUUCACAUUUCACAAACUUCUUUCACAAACUUUUUUACUUAUAUCAUGUAUCAGUGAACUAGAUAAUGUUGCUUCCAUUUUAUGGUUCUUUAGAAAAGUGAAUUUGAGAUUUAAUGUUUUUUUUUUUUUCUACCACAUGACUGUUUGGCUAGUAAAUGGCAAAGCCAGAACUUGUCUGCUGAUCUUUAGACCGGUACUCUCAUUUCUUCUAAGCCACUUCUAAGCCACAAAAGAGACCUGUGUGUAACUAAUUAAGGUAGUAAGCUGGGAAUGCUGUAUACUUACUUUUUUAGUAGUUCAAAUGUGUCUUGGUGCUUGACUUGUAUCGGUCAUAAAUAGUAGAUAAAACAUCUUCACGCUUUUCUAAAGAAACCUCGUGUUUUCAAAACAGUUCCAGCUUAGGACACCUCCCUGGCUCAGUCCGAAAAGCGCGCCCCUCUUUAAUUUUUUUUAACAUUUACUUAUUAAAAAUAUUUUUUAAUGUUUAUUUUUGAGAGAGAGGGAGGAGCAGAGAGAGGGAGACACAGAAUCUGAAGCAGGCUUCUGGCUCUGAGCUGUCAGCACAGAGCCCGAUAUGGAGCUCUAACCCACGAAUCGUGAGAUCAUGACCUGAGCUGAAGUGGGUCGCUUAACUGACUGAGCCACCCAGGCUCCCCAACGUUUAUUUAUUUUUGAGGGAGAGGGAGACACAGAAUCUGAAGCAGGCCCCAGUCUCUGAGCUGUCAGCACAGAGCCCGACAUGGGGCUCGAACCCACAAACCGUGAGAUCGUGACCUGAGCCGAAGUUGGAUUCUUAAACGCUUAACCCAGUAAGCCACGCAGGUGCCCCAUAGUGUGUGAUUCUUGAUCUUGGGGUCAUGAGUUUGAGCCCCACAUUGGGUGGAGAGAUUAUUAAAAAAAAAUUAAUAAACUUAAAAAAAAUCUCAUUUUAAGGCACAGUGAAUGAAGUUAGAAUGAGGGAUUUUAGGUAAUCUCAAAAUUUGUGUUUGCAUACGGUUUCCUUGGUUUCCUCGGUUUGUAGAGUCUGCUGGGGUAUGGCCAGGCAUUUCUGCAAAUUGCUUUUAUUUAAAACCUCUGUCCACCCCCCCCCCCCUUUUGUCUUGAUGGAUGCAGCCUUUAAGUUAAUGAUUUAGUCAUAACACUUUUAGGAGGGGGAGAGGUUGACAAAUGAUUUGCAAAUGUUCCAGAUACUAGCCUAGAGAGCUGUCAUACAGAAUCCAUUAAGGGGUAGUGAGGAACAGUAGCAAAAAGUUAACGUAUACUGUUUCUGAAAUGGUCAGUUAACAGUAAAUUGGUUUGCCAACAUAAUUCUGUGGUUUGAACUCAUUAACUAAAUAUUCAUGUUAGACUACAUAAUAAUUGGGUCAUAAUAACUGCCAUAAUAAUUAAAGGGCCAUCAUAAUUUAUCAUUCAAAUCAGGAUACCUUGAAACGAAGGGGUAGCAAUUCAUAAUAGUGCUAAGACCGUAAGCAUAAACUAGGAUUGUUCGGAGAUGCAAACUUGCCUUACGGUUAUUGUACUUAAGACCAUUUGUUCUUACUCAUCUCAUUUAGAUUCAUACAAACCACCAACCGGUGGACCUGACUGAUAGUGUCAAAGCCAGAUAUGUUAGUUUUAUGUCUGUCUGUCUUGAGUAGAUCUGUGUUUUUGAUGAAUGCAGUGGUUAAGCUCAGGUCAUGAUGUCAGUUUGUGUCAGCUCAGAACCUGCUUUGGAUCCUCUGUCUCUCUCUCUCUGCCCCCUCUCCCCCCCCCCCCCCCCCCGCUUGUUCUCUCUAUCUCUCCAUCUCUCUCUUCCCCCCCCCCCAAAAAAAAAAAACAAACAUUAAAAAAGUCUUUAAAAAUACUUGACUUAGGUGUUAGUAGCAGUGUCUGUCCUAAGCUUGGACGAUUUUCCCCAAGUACGCUUCUAUAGUCUAACCCCAUACCUUGUUAUGACCAUUCUGUUUAGAACACUGAAUUGUUUAGUUUAGAAAACAUGACCAUGAUCCUGGUUUAUCUUGUUUUAAAUUUAAUCUUCAAUUUGUAGCCCUUCUUCAAACGAUUUAGCACAAUAGCUGGGCAGAUCUGUCAUUGGUAAGCUUGAUUUGUGAUCAGGUCAGGAUUUUAUCCAGCUAAAGCAAUAUGAAAUAUGUUUAAUGUUCAUUUGUGAAAUUUCAAAGAGACACGUUGCAUUGAAAUUUAUGACUAUUUUCAUAUUUUGGCAGAUGUGGUAUAGUGCAAAGGCCUUGGAACCCUUGCAUUCCUUGUCUGUAGAAGGGCAAUUAAUGAUUACUUGCCUUGCCUGCUAAUUUACAGGGUUAUGAAAUUGUGGGUUCAUUAAAGGGCAGAGUAUUCCUGUUUUCCGGUGUGAAAGAUGAAGUAAAAUUUUGCUGUGGGUAUACUGUGGUCAUAUUAUAAGAUGAAUUAUCUCUUUUGAGUUUUUCCUAGCAAGUGUACUCUUGUGGUGUUAGUCUCUAAGUUACAUUUGCAUAAAGAGAAAUUAGUUCUGAAAAUCCUUAAUUGUAACUCAAAUCUGAACAUUUGCAUAUCCUAAAAGUGAAGGUUGUCCAAAUUAUUCCGAAGCAAUAUAAUACAUAAUUUGGCCAUGUUGAGCUGGUCUGUAGUUCUUUUGAUACUAAUUCCAGGUUAAUAUUCAAGAGAAUGUUCAUGUCUCUCUGACAAAUAAAACACCUGUUGUAGGUAGAUCUGGAAUGAAAGAUUCCAUAGAAUAAAAAUAUAAUUUAGGAUUAAAAUAUUUUUGCUAGCAGUCUCAAGAUUACUCACUAGGAACAUACUGAUACUAUCUAUAGUAGGUACAUAUAGUGUAUAUACUACCUAUAACCAGUUUUGUGAAAUGUGAUUCUAAAGGCUUAAUGUAAGCCUUGGGCAGUGAAUGGGUUCUGAUUAAUAAAAUGCUACCAAUUAAUACUACUUGUACCUUGGUGGUUUAGUAAUUGUAUUUAUUUGUUAUAAUGUGUUGUUUUAAGUAGUAAAACUUUAUGAGAAGAAUAUCAUGAAAAUUUCAAAACCCUGUGUGUUCUUUGACUAGGAAAUAUCACUGACAGUUAUGAUUUUAUUUUUUUAAAUGUGUAUUU